UUCUAAUGCAACAUGUAAUGAAGUGUAAAUAAGCAUAUAGUACCCUAACCAUCAGGACCAAAGCGCCACAUGGCAACUCCCAUAAAUUUGUUCCGUCUAUAUGCAUAUAAAGUCUAUCAAUCUCUAAGAAGCACAUUGUAUCUAUGAACAAUCAAACCAAAUAAGAACUCUCAUACACCAAACAACAGUAAACUUCAAAGUAGUCUAGGAGAUCUUGCUUAAGUAAUGCAUUUUCUCUACAACAAGAUGCCGAAUAAAAUGUGAUCAAACUCCAAUGAUAUCCAUAAACAGGUCCCAACAUUACCGCACCGUCACAGACUACCAAAAUGUUAUGAAUCGCAAUCUCAAUCUCAUCACAGAUCAUUCAAUAUUCCAUUCCACAAGAAAUCAUCGUAUCACCGAAAAAUGUGCAU
This is a long non-coding RNA of Populus euphratica (Euphrates poplar), 413 nucleotides long. RefSeq lists it as uncharacterized. The record is from RefSeq and is a predicted model, not a curated record. NCBI's taxonomy places the organism in Eukaryota, Viridiplantae, Streptophyta, Magnoliopsida, Malpighiales, Salicaceae. The transcript is spliced from 2 exons.